Molecule: long non-coding RNA, 311 nt
Organism: Liolophura sinensis
Lineage: Eukaryota; Metazoa; Mollusca; Polyplacophora; Chitonida; Chitonidae
Exons: 3
Source: RefSeq, a predicted model, not a curated record
ACCAGAUAUGAAGGUGUUUCUCAUCUUAGCUCUGUCUGUGUUUGGCUGUGUCAUGGCGGCCCCGAGCUGUCCGCCUGGCACCUCAUUCGUCUACUGUUUCAUUGAUCCGUGUAUGAUGGCCAAAUGUCCGGGUCACCCUGACGCCCAGUGCAGGGCAAACUACUGCGGCGGCUGUAACUAUGACUUCUAUGUGGAUGGAAAGAAGCUGGCGAAGUUUAGCUGUGGAGUUUAAAACGGAAGCCUGGCCAAACCCAAUCCGGAAGAUGGGGACCAACUUGCUCUCAUUUAUCAUUAAUACAGGAAUAAUAAAG